UUGGCCACAAAAGUGCUGGAAUUACAGGCGUGAGCCACUGAGCCUGGCCUGUGUUUUAAAUUUAAUCCUUACUAUAACCCUACAGGUAAGAAUUAUUUCCCCCAUGUUCUACAGGAAGAAACUGAGGCACGGAGAGGUUGGAGAAGUACUGGCCAGAUCAUGUAGAACUAGAAUAUCAAGGUAAUGAGUUUAAAUUUCAUUCACUACAAAGUGGAGAGGCAAUAAAGAAUUUAAAACUAGAGAGUAAUGUGAUUCAAUAUACAAUUUAAAAAGAUGAAUCUGAGGUACUGUAAAGACAGACUAAAGAGGGACAACACUAGAGAUAAGGAGAUGGGUCAGGACACUAAUCUAACACUCCAGUUGAGAAAUUAGGAAGGCCUUUGGUAUAGUGAGAAGGGGACAGAUUUGAGGGAUUAUCAGAAGGUGGAAUUUACAGGACAAGGUCAGAAAGUAAAUUCCCACAGGGAUUAAGUGAGAAACAUACUGAAUCUAAUGGACCAGCAUAAAUAAUAGGGAGUGGCAAACUGGAGAAUCCAGGAAUGCACGAUCACCCAAUUUUUCAAGAGAAACUAGACAUUUUAACUUUUAUUUGAAAUCUCCUAAUUUUUAUUUUUCUUCUUUUUUUUAAAAUUUGUAUUACUUGUUUACAUUAUUUUUUAUUCAUUUUUUUAAUAUUCUUUUUUCUUUCUUGACGCAUCUUUAAUAGUAAUAGCAGAAAAUGAAAUCUCCUAAUUUUUAAAUCUUCACAGCCAAUCUCAACAUUAGAAAAGCAAUCUCAAGGCCAAAUGAAACAUGCCUGUUGAACCAAGUUCUUCUGGGCCAACAAUUUUAACCUCUGCAUAAGCCCCCAAGAAAGCUGACUAAAAUCACAGAAAAACUGGGCAGUAGUGAGGUCUCAGCUAAGAUAAUGAACCACAAAUUUCUAGUGGUAAAAUCCAGCAGCCAUGAUGAAGGAGCAAAGAAAAGGCACAGGCAUUAACUGAUCUAAGCCUCGGUUCCAAACCUGAGUGGUUUGAAAAAGGAUUAAAGAAUCAUGCUAUAUACGGUAUAAUCUUCAAAUCUCUCAAGAACUCCAUGGAGAUCAGGCUUAUUAUCCCCAUUUUACUGAUGAGGAAACUUAGUAAUUCAUCCAUUAUUACAAUUAAUAAGUUGUCUUAUGUGGAUUUGAGAAAGUGUAGAACUCAUGCUCUUCCCACAUUCCAUGUCGCCCCUGGCAAAAGGAAUGUCUGAAAGAAGUGGAAUGCACAGAAGCCAAGAAAGACUAACAGAAUCUUUAGAUUCCUGCAAAUCAGAGAGCUGAGAGUCCUCUCAAGUGGGACACAGCAAUGUUCAGUGUACAUUCUCCACCUUAGAGAGAUCAGCACUCGGCUACAAGGUAGUGCUGUGUCAUAUGACACUAAUCCUCAUAAAUACUCAACAUCGAAAGACUUCUUUGGAGAAGUUCAAGGUACCUGAGACCAAAACAGGUCUUGUCUCAUGGACUCUGAACUCUGCAGACUGUUCCUCAUUGUUCAGGUCGCAGCUGAAUGUCAGGUUCCGAGAUUCCACUCUACAUAAGUAACUCCAUCACCAGAGGCUCAUAACUGAUGAGGAAUUUUGCCUUGGGAUGAAUUGUUCCUUGCAUCUCGCCCAUAUCUGAUCCAGCCUACAAAGGAGAGCUCACUGCAGGCCUGGAGUAAUCAGGGAAAUUUCUCACUGAUGAGGAGUCAGCAUGCAAAAUCACGGCAACCCAGGCAAAGCAAUCAUCGACAUAUCAAGACACAGAGAGUAGCUGCAGUUCCCUCCCUCUGCCCUUCCAUCAAAACAAGCAACCAAAUGGGACAUCCUUUAAACCUAGUGUUUGCUUCUUUCUUAAUACUUUAGGGUUCCUUUGUGCUCUGGCCUGGGUUUGUAGGAAACACAGGAAGGAAGAGGAGGAAAGAGCUGGA
Microcebus murinus (gray mouse lemur) is the source of this 1928-nucleotide non-coding RNA. The record is from RefSeq and is a predicted model, not a curated record. Lineage: Eukaryota; Metazoa; Chordata; Mammalia; Primates; Cheirogaleidae.